GCAAUAGUGGCACAAUGGUUAAGUGCUCAACUGCUUAACCAAAAGGUUGGUGGUUCAAACCCACCCAGUGGCU
RNAcentral lists this transfer RNA (73 nucleotides) under Loxodonta africana (African savanna elephant). It matches the Rfam family "tRNA". From Rfam's summary of the family: Transfer RNA (tRNA) molecules are approximately 80 nucleotides in length. Their secondary structure includes four short double-helical elements and three loops (D, anti-codon, and T loops). Lineage: Eukaryota; Metazoa; Chordata; Mammalia; Proboscidea; Elephantidae. The record is from Rfam by way of RNAcentral.